CCUGUUGCUUUAGCUCACGUUUCCCUUCCCCUCCGGGCUGCACGCUGAGGAUGACCUCAGCGAGGUGUGUGUAAGGGGAAUGGAGGGUUUGGCUUCCUUGAGACAGAGGAUCUUGCUCGCCUCAAAGAGGAGGGCAGUUUGCCCCCUUCCUCCUGACUCCAAGACAAAAGAGAGAAGACUGAAGAGUGGUAAAGCUUGUGGUGUGAGACUUGGAUGGUUGUAAGACACAUUUGCACUGCAUCCUGAAAACAGUGAAGUGGAGAUGAUUUUGCUCUUUCAGCAGAUAGAGAGCCCUUCCGAAACAGAUAAACACGCACAGUCCUCAGUGGAGGCCCUCUACCGGCCUCAUCUACUCCUGAGCACAACUCUUGGACUCCCUUGGCUAAAGCCCACAGCUGAAGUUUGAGGGUUCCUUUUACCUUCCAGCUGGCAGGGACGAGGAUGUGCUUUAGCAAGAGCAAAGAUUUUCUACUGAUAAUAUUCAAAUGCAAAGCUGUCCUGUUGAUUUGGGGGUGGAUUAAAAGUAAUUAUAAAAUGUUAGAUUCUAAGAAGAGAGUAGAGCCUAAUUUGGUCAUCACUUUUGUGGUAACAUACUUCUUUCUUUGCUGCUAACUGGAUAUUGUCUUUGAAAAUGCUUUGACGUCUGCCAGGUGGCUCCAGCCAGCACCUACUCUUUUUUGCUUAGCUUACUAUGCCUAAUAUCCAGUGUCUGAAUCACAGAUUUGGGAUCUUUUAAAAACGGAAUUUGGCGCUUGAUUAUAGAGUCUCAUACUAUCUUCACAUCUUACUUUCUUGCAUAAAUUUUGAGUUUUAAGGACAAAGGCCACUCCAUAUUCCUCCUACUCUGAUUAACUCCCAGCAUGGAACAAGCAUGUAGUAGACUGGGAAAUCUUUGUUGGAUUUAAUCAACUGAAUGGAACCCUGGGUUUUUGUAUGAUGUCUAGAUAGUUUUAUGAAUAAAAUAGGUGUUUACUAAAUAAUUGUUUAGUAAAUGGCUAACCCAUCCCAGCCUCACUGGGAAAGAGAGGGAAAGGGGAGCUCUUCUCCCUUUUGCUGUGGUCAAAUAAAUACAUGAUUUAUUUGCUUUACUCUCUCUUCUAUAUCAACUAGUAAUUUUCAUAUCAUUAAAUUUUCAUUAAGGGAAGAGGUCAAAGGAAUAUCUUUAAAAGGUAAUUAUUGUGAUUACUCUUUGAUCCAGCAAUCUAAUUUCUAGGAAUUUAAUCUAAUGAAAUAAUUAAAAAGAGGCAAAACAUUAUAUUAAUAGAGCUACUCAUUGCAUUACUAUCUAUAACAGCCAUAACAAGAAAUGACUUAAAGUCUCUAAGGUUAUUUCAUACAGUAAUAAUAAUAGCUCAUGCUGAUUGAUUGCUCAUCAUGUGCCAGGCACUGCUGUAAAAGCUUUAUGCAGAUUAACCCACUUAAUCUGUAAUCUCACUUAAUCUGUCUCAAUUCUCCUGACAAACAUAUGAGGUAAAAAUCGUCAUCAUCCCCAUUUUAUAGGCCAGAAGACUAAGGCACAGAGGUUAAAAAAUUCCCAUUUGGAUUAAGGUAUUUUGGCACCAGCAUUUACAGUCUUAGCAUCAUUCUUUGCUCUCAUUAGGACUUCCUGAACAUUAUAAUAGGCACUAGGGACAGACAGAUUUAUGAAACAGAAAGGACUCCACUUCAUAUAGCCAUUAAAGAUAACAAUUAUGAAAACUAUGUACAAAUAAGGAAACACGCUAAUUUAUAUGGACAUACAUAUUUACAGAUACAUUAUGAUGCCAUUUAUUUUAUAUGGAUAUAGUGUAGAUAUAAAUUGUGAUCUUUUUAUUUAACAACAUAUCUUGGAUAUUAUUCCAUAUCCAGGCCUGCAGAUCUCCUUUACUUUUUAAAUGGCAGAAUACAAGGCUGUCUUCUGGGAAUAUACCAUAAUUUAACCAGUGUCCUAUUGAUGUACAUUCAGACUGUUUCUAGUCUAUUGCAGCUAAAAUAAUUGUGUAAUGAAUAUCUUUAUUUGCCAUAUGUGAUUUCAACAAUAACCAAGAAAUCUUAUUUUUGUUGGUAUUACAUUCAAUUAAUAAUUUGAUUUAGGGAAAGUUGACUUCUUUAUGAUAUUUAGUCUUUUUAUCUAAACAUAGGGAAUGCCAUUUCAUUUUAUCAAGAUUCAGUUACAUAUGUUCUGCAUGUUUAUUGUUAUUUUUAUUCUAAUGUAUUUUAUUAUUCUAGAAGCCAUUUUAAAUGGGAACUUUUUCAUUAUGUUUUCUAACUUGUUUUUAUACAGAAAAGUUAUUGAUUAUUGCAUUUAAUAACCAGCUUUUGUACUGGAUUAUCUUAUUGCUUCCAAUAAUUUUCUAUGUGACUCUCUUUUAGCUAUGCAAUCAUAUCAUCUGUAAAUAAUUAUUACUUUGGCUCAUCCUUUUCAUUGUUUUAUACAUUUAUUUCCUCUUAUUUAAUUGGGUAGUACUUAAACAAUAUUAGUUAAAUAUGUUAAACAAUGUCACCAUUUCCUCACAUUAUUGGGAAGGCUUUUUGUAUUCCAUCAUUAAACAACAUGCUGCCUUGGAAAAAAUAGGUAAUUUUUUUACCACUACCACAAUAUUAUAAAGAGAGUUUUAUCUGGAACACUUCUAUUUUCUUUUCUUUUCUUUUUUUUAGACAGUCUCACCUGUCUCCUAGGCUGGAGUGCAGUGGUGUGAUCUCAGCUCACUGCAACCUCUGCCUCCCGGGUUCAAGUGAUUCUCCUGCCUCAGCCUCCCAAGUAGCUGGGACUACAGCGUGCACCACCAUGCCCAGAUGAUUUUAUACUUUUAGUAGAGAUGGGGUUUCACUAUGUUGGCCAGGCUGGUCUUGAACUCCUGACCUCAGGUGAUCUGCCUGCUUUGGCCUCCCAAAGUGGUGGUAUUACAGGCAUGAGCCGCUGCGCCUGGCCGGAACACAUCUAUUUUUAAUGAGUAAACCUGAGAGCUUCAAAACCCCCUGGCCUGACUGCCAGGAAUAAUUCUGUUUCUAACUGUCCCCCACUAUUUCUCCAGGGAUCCAGGGCCUCUCAGAGUUCACCUGAGCUUUCCCAAGUCUGGUUUGUUCUCUCUACCCUGCUGCUAUUACUGCAAGUGACUUUCACAAGAUGCUUCUGAGCAUAGCAUUGCUCUGCUGUGACCACUGCAGAUGUCAAGAGAAUUUCUGCCUUUUGGAACUUGGACAAUAUUGGCCACCUACCCAGAGAGAGGAGAAGGAUAAUCCAGACAUAAAGAUAAGAACUCUUAAGUGCUGAGAGCUUAAAUAAUUUACCUAAGGACACACAACUCAUAUGUGGAAGCUCCCACACAUCCUUUGGAUCUCUGAUAAAGAGUCAUAUACUUAAAGAACCAUCCUCACAUUCCUGCCCAGACUGUGAGCUGCAUGAGAGAGGCCAUGUCUCAUUUUGUUCCAUUACAUCUCCAGCACUUAAGAGUGCUGGACACAUAACGAGUGCCUGACACAUAACGAGUGCUGAAUAAAUGUUUGUUAACUGAUGAAAUGAAUCUUUUGUCUUUAUUUCAUAGAAUUAAAGAUGCCUUGAGUCAGAAGUCACCCGAUCCCACUCACCCUUUAGAGGUCCUUUAGCACCAUUUUAACCAACUGGUCAACUAACUGAUCUUGAACACUCCAUAUUUGAAUAGGUCUGACCACUAGUGGCAGCCACUAUUCAGGGGAGUAUAGUAACGAGCUCCAGUGCUCUCCCUUACCCUACAACUCAUGAAAGACUUCACCCAAGUUUUUUCUUCUUUAGACUGUGUGUGCCCAUUGCUUUAGACUACUCUCCUGUGAUCAUCCUGUCUGUAUUCUCCUGAAUGUGUGCCCCUCAUGUUUGGUAUUCAGGGAAAAGAUCUCAACAUUAGAUAUGGUCUGACCAGAUUUAUUAGAUUCUGAAGUGAUAUUCUGCUAAUUUAAUCUCACUGCUAAUUUAUACAGAGUUUGCAGACAACUUCAACUUCCAUUUAAAAUACAUAUAAUGGAGGUAGUUUGAUCGCUGCCCAGUGUUUCCUAAGUACCUGUGCUGUGCCUCUCUUUUCCACACCACUCUGUUCCUCUUGACACACUGGAAGCCAAAAAUUCUCAUUCACCCUAUUUAAAGAACUGGCAAGAGGCUUAAGGGUAUCCUGGACAAUUGAGAAAUGGGGGAUAUUCAUAUGGGGCAGUAUAG
Molecule: long non-coding RNA, 4165 nt
Organism: Pan troglodytes (chimpanzee)
Lineage: Eukaryota; Metazoa; Chordata; Mammalia; Primates; Hominidae
Exons: 6
Source: RefSeq, a predicted model, not a curated record